Molecule: transfer RNA, 73 nt
Filed under: Caudoviricetes sp.
Lineage: Duplodnaviria; Heunggongvirae; Uroviricota; Caudoviricetes
Description: tRNA-Met
Rfam family: tRNA
About the family: Transfer RNA (tRNA) molecules are approximately 80 nucleotides in length.
Source: RNAcentral
UGGGAGUUAGAGCAGUGGUCAGCUCGCUGGGUGCAUAGCCCAGAGGUCGUCAGUUCGAAUCUGGCAUUCCCAA